GAUGAACGCUGGCGGCGUGCUUAACACAUGCAAGUCGAACGGAAAGGCUCCUGCUUGCAGGGGUACUCGAGUGGCGAACGGGUGAGUAACACGUGGGUGAUCUGCCCUGCACUUCGGGAUAAGCCUGGGAAACUGGGUCUAAUACCGGAUAGGACGAUGGUUUGGAUGCCAUUGUGGAAAGGUUUUUCGGUGUGGGAUGAGCUCGCGGCCUAUCAGCUUGUUGGUGGGGUAAUGGCCUACCAAGGCGUCGACGGGUAGCCGGCCUGUGAGGGUGUACGGCCACAUUGGGACUGAGAUACGGCCCAGACUCCUACGGGAGGCAGCAGUGGGGAAUAUUGCACAAUGGGCGCAAGCCUGAUGCAGCGACGCCGCGUGGGGGAUGACGGCCUUCGGGUUGUAAACUCCUUUCGCUAGGGACGAAGCGCAAGUGACGGUACCUGGAGAAGAAGCACCGGCUAACUACGUG
Molecule: ribosomal RNA, 466 nt
Filed under: uncultured bacterium
Lineage: Bacteria
Description: partial 16S ribosomal RNA
Rfam family: Bacterial small subunit ribosomal RNA
Source: RNAcentral